Molecule: non-coding RNA, 106 nt
Organism: Hypoxylon fuscum
Lineage: Eukaryota; Fungi; Ascomycota; Sordariomycetes; Xylariales; Hypoxylaceae
Source: the annotation of a GenBank genome assembly
GCCCGACUAGCUCAUCGGUAGAGCGCCUCACUAGUAAUAGCAGCCCCUUCCUGGGGAAAUUUACAUUGCAAUGAGGAGGCAACAGGUUCGAUUCCUGUGUUGGGCA